Molecule: long non-coding RNA, 499 nt
Organism: Sitophilus oryzae (rice weevil)
Lineage: Eukaryota; Metazoa; Arthropoda; Insecta; Coleoptera; Curculionidae
Exons: 4
Source: RefSeq, a predicted model, not a curated record
GGCGUUAUGUCGCUCUUAACAAUUUUUGUGAUUUUUUGAUAGAAAAACUGAUUUUCUGUGCACUAUUUGAGUUUAUUCUGUUCCUUAAGGCCUGUUUAAUUCCCCUGACAAUGAGCGUUAAUAAUAAUAUACACACCACACACAGCAAACAAAGACCACCUAAAAGAUAAGACCUGGGUCACCCCUUGUAUAAUCCUAUCCUGAUGUUUGCCCAUCACUCUGGUUUACGAGUUGGUCUUCGAUUAUCUGAUUAAAAAUUUUCUACAACAAAUCUACAGUUCCAGGGCAGUACAUGUAUCCUCUUCAUGAAUGUUACCAACAAUGCAUCAGGACUUAUAAAAUCAAGACUUUCCAGAGAAGGGCAGCUAGAUGAUUUAUUUACCUCAACAUAUCCAGAGUCCAGAGACAUCAGCAUGUCCGCCAACAUCUUGGAUUUUAAUAUACUUUUUAUAUUCACUAUUGUUAAUAAAAUGUUAUGCGUUAAUAAAUAAAAAUUAUA